Molecule: ribosomal RNA, 470 nt
Filed under: Vibrio parahaemolyticus
Lineage: Bacteria; Pseudomonadati; Pseudomonadota; Gammaproteobacteria; Vibrionales; Vibrionaceae
Description: bacterial SSU rRNA
Rfam family: Bacterial small subunit ribosomal RNA
Source: RNAcentral
GUGGUUUAAUUCGAUGCAACGCGAAGAACCUUACCUACUCUUGACAUCCAGAGAACUUUCCAGAGAUGGAUUGGUGCCUUCGGGAACUCUGAGACAGGUGCUGCAUGGCUGUCGUCAGCUCGUGUUGUGAAAUGUUGGGUUAAGUCCCGCAACGAGCGCAACCCUUAUCCUUGUUUGCCAGCGAGUAAUGUCGGGAACUCCAGGGAGACUGCCGGUGAUAAACCGGAGGAAGGUGGGGACGACGUCAAGUCAUCAUGGCCCUUACGAGUAGGGCUACACACGUGCUACAAUGGCGCAUACAGAGGGCGGCCAACUUGCGAAAGUGAGCGAAUCCCAAAAAGUGCGUCGUAGUCCGGAUUGGAGUCUGCAACUCGACUCCAUGAAGUCGGAAUCGCUAGUAAUCGUGGAUCAGAAUGCCACGGUGAAUACGUUCCCGGGCCUUGUACACACCGCCCGUCACACCAUGGGAG